GACGAACGCUGGCGGCGCGCCUAACACAUGCAAGUCGAACGGAGCUGAGAGAAGCUUGCUUUUCUUAGCUUAGUGGCGAACGGGUGAGUAACGCGUGAGUAACCUGCCCUGGAGUGGGGGACAACAGUUGGAAACGACUGCUAAUACCGCAUAAGCCCACGAUCCGGCAUCGGAUUGAGGGAAAAGGAUUUAUUCGCUUCAGGAUGGACUCGCGUCCAAUUAGCUAGUUGGUGAGGUAACGGCCCACCAAGGCGACGAUUGGUAGCCGGACUGAGAGGUUAAACGGCCACAUUGGGACUGAGACACGGCCCAGACUCCUACGGGAGGCAGCAGUGGGGGAUAUUGCACAAUGGGGGAAACCCUGAUGCAGCGACGCCGCGUGGAGGAAGAAGGUUUUCGGAUUGUAAACUCCUGUCGUUAGGGACGAUAAUGACGGUACCUAACAAGAAAGCACCGGCUAACUACGUG
This 468-nucleotide ribosomal RNA is filed under the name uncultured bacterium. RNAcentral's name for it is "partial 16S ribosomal RNA". It matches the Rfam family "Bacterial small subunit ribosomal RNA", at positions 28 to 507 of the family's 1533-position model. The record is from RNAcentral.